This 253-nucleotide ribosomal RNA is filed under the name uncultured bacterium. RNAcentral describes it as "partial 16S ribosomal RNA". It matches the Rfam family "Bacterial small subunit ribosomal RNA", at positions 524 to 776 of the family's 1533-position model. The record is from RNAcentral.
UACAGAGGGGGCGAGCGUUAUUCGGAAUUAUUGGGCGUAAAGGGCGCGUAGGCGGCCUUUCAAGUGACGGGUGAAAUCCCUCGGCUUAACCGAGGAACUGCCUGUCAGACUGGAAGGCUUGAGACCGGGAGAGGUGAGUGGAAUUCCCAGUGUAGCGGUGAAAUGCGUAGAUAUUGGGAGGAACACCAGUGGCGAAGGCGGAUCACUGGACCGGAACUGACGCUGAGGCGCGAAAGCGUGGGGAGCAAACAGG